CCUACGGGUGGCAGCAGUGGGGAAUAUUGGACAAUGGGGGGAACCCUGAUCCAGCCAUGCCGCGUGUGUGAAGAAAGCCCUCGGGUUGUAAAGCACUUUCAGUGAGGAAGAACGCCUGGUGGUUAAUACCCAUCAGGAAAGACAUCACUCACAGAAGAAGCACCGGCUAACUCCGUGCCAGCAGCCGCGGUAAUACGGAGGGUGCGAGCGUUAAUCGGAAUUACUGGGCGUAAAGCGCGCGUAGGUGGCUUGAUAAGCCGGUUGUGAAAGCCCCGGGCUCAACCUGGGAACGGCAUCCGGAACUGUCAAGCUAGAGUGCAGGAGAGGAAGGUAGAAUUCCCGGUGUAGCGGUGAAAUGCGUAGAGAUCGGGAGGAAUACCAGUGGCGAAGGCGGCCUUCUGGACUGACACUGACACUGAGGUGCGAAAGCGUGGGUAGCAAACAGGAUUAGAUACCCUUGUAGUC
This 465-nucleotide ribosomal RNA is filed under the name Vreelandella stevensii. RNAcentral's name for it is "partial 16S ribosomal RNA". It matches the Rfam family "Bacterial small subunit ribosomal RNA", at positions 338 to 795 of the family's 1533-position model. Lineage: Bacteria; Pseudomonadati; Pseudomonadota; Gammaproteobacteria; Oceanospirillales; Halomonadaceae. The record is from RNAcentral.